Molecule: long non-coding RNA, 283 nt
Filed under: Elaeis guineensis (African oil palm)
Lineage: Eukaryota; Viridiplantae; Streptophyta; Magnoliopsida; Arecales; Arecaceae
Description: long non-coding RNA (EGUI_LNC015208)
Source: RNAcentral
GUAUAGUAGUAUGACAAAAUAAAAAUUAAUUUUUUGUUAGCAAUAGGUACAUAAUAACAGUCUCUAAAUAUCAAAUUAAAUCUAGAUGGUAAUCGCAGAGGAUAGGUGUCCACGAUCAUAGUAGCAACUCUUGCCCCAUUGUCAAUCUGAAGGAUCAUUUCACCUUCCCUCAACACUCUACUUUCUUUUAGAUCCACAUUGAAGUACACAAGUGAGUACUUGAACCAAAAUCUAUAACCCAAAUAGAUAUAGAAAAAACCGUAAGGUUAGUUUCAAUAAUCGA